RNAcentral lists this long non-coding RNA (309 nucleotides) under Marmota monax (woodchuck). Lineage: Eukaryota; Metazoa; Chordata; Mammalia; Rodentia; Sciuridae. The record is from RNAcentral.
CCCUGUACUCCCUGUAAUCUCAUCCUGUGUGUGAUUGCAGGGAACUCAUCAGAAAAGAGUCUUCUUCAAAGACUCCCAGCAUGAUGGCAAAUAAAAAUCAGCUGCCAGUCACAGAGGAAAUAUGUUCCUGCAGCAAUCAAGUUCCAACCUCUGGACUUGCCACACUCCUGAGGCUCUGCAUGUGACUCCCGAAUUCCUCCAGAGGGUACCCAGGUUGGAGGUGGGGUGCUGCUCCUUUCUAUUUGCUUCUGCAGAUGCCAACACAAUGCUGUUGCAUUAAUGUGUCUGGGAAAGGGAAAAAAUGGUGGU